GAAUAGAAUAGAGAGUGGGAAGUCCACUCCAGCACGGGAACUUUAUGCAAACGUCUUUUCAAGACAUCAGAAAAUUUGCUGACUGCGAUCUCGGAUUGGAACAGAAAUUACAGAUUUUGAAUUUUAUGAAAAGGUUCGGUAAAGAAUCCCUGUGUCUGUCGUGCAGAGAUUACUUUAAGAUUACGAAAAAGUUUCCAAUAAAG
Centruroides sculpturatus (bark scorpion) is the source of this 203-nucleotide long non-coding RNA. RefSeq lists it as uncharacterized. Lineage: Eukaryota; Metazoa; Arthropoda; Arachnida; Scorpiones; Buthidae. The transcript has 3 exons. The record is from RefSeq and is a predicted model, not a curated record.